GGGAAAAUGUGGGUUGAGAUUUUGUAUAAAUAUUACAAAUUUUAAAGUUGUCGAGUUUAUCUUGUUUGUUUUGGGAUCAAUCAAUGUCUCCUGACCCAUUUCCAGUUUCUAUGUAUUGGUGCCGAGGUCCAUUGCUAAUUGCAAUGGAAUAUAUACUAAGAUUUUAUCGUUAUAAUUUCAUGAUUAGGUUGUUGCGGGAGAACUUAGCAAAUCUUGCCAUGGGCAGCAGCAGAAACAAAAUUGCUUUUGGAUAGGGGAAAGAUGCAUUGUUCGUUUCAAGCUCCAUGCUGCAUGCUUUCUUAUUUAUCAAUGUAAUUAGUUUAGGACAAUUCGUUAUUGAAUUUAUUAGACCCUCUUUGUUAGAGGUUUCUUUUUGGUUUAUCUGUAACUAAAUUCCAUCAGACACAAACAAUUCCAUUAAAUGGAUCCAUUUUGAAUAUGUACAAAUCAUUUUAUUAAAUUGGACAUCUCCUUUUUUUUUCCCACUACGCUAAUACGUCGUUUAUGCAUUAAACUAAGGAACUAGGGUAAGUAAGGUCAUGGGAUCGAAAAGAAAUCAUGUAUCCAUGGCAUCAUACAUUUAACAUCUAAUAUAUUAGUAUUUCUGCAAAUUUUAAAUCCUCUCAUUAUAUGUGUAACGACAUUUCUUUUUCUAAAACAAGAAAUAAUUCGGUUACCGGAUUAUCUUGUUACAUUUUUCCCACAAUUUUCUGUUGUUAAUCGAUACAUAUAACUCCAAUAUUAAUUUCUAUUUGAAAUUACUUAUUAGCAAUUCCAACUACUAUUUACAUAAUUUUAAUGCUUCUAUGUGCAUUCAUGUUUUGUACUCCACCGCGCAUAGCGCGGUUUAUCCCUCCUAGUUGGGAGCCUAACCUUCAUGGUAGUUUGUUGACCACUAUGCACCUUUUGUUGCGCCCCAUUUUUUAAAAGAAAUAAUAAAAGUGUUUAUGAAUUUGUUGAUUAAUUUUGAGAAAAAUGUAUUUUUUAAUGAAAAAAUGAAUAAAGAAAUGAUUUUUCAUUUAAUUUUGAUUAAAAAAUAA
Molecule: long non-coding RNA, 1040 nt
Filed under: Coffea arabica (coffee)
Lineage: Eukaryota; Viridiplantae; Streptophyta; Magnoliopsida; Gentianales; Rubiaceae
Description: long non-coding RNA (CARA_LNC001846)
Source: RNAcentral